GAGGGCACGUCUGCCUGGGUGUC
Molecule: non-coding RNA, 23 nt
Filed under: Arabidopsis thaliana (thale cress)
Lineage: Eukaryota; Viridiplantae; Streptophyta; Magnoliopsida; Brassicales; Brassicaceae
Source: RNAcentral